UAGGGAAUCUUCGGCAAUGGGGGGAACCCUGACCGAGCAACGCCGCGUGAGUGAAGAAGGUUUUCGGAUCGUAAAGCUCUGUUGUUAAGGAAGAACGAGUGUGAGAAUGGAAAGUUCAUGCUGUGACGGUACUUAACCAGAAAGGGACGGCUAACUACGUGCCAGCAGCCGCGGUAAUACGUAGGUCCCGAGCGUUGUCCGGAAUUAUUGGGCGUAAAGCGCGCGCAGGUGGUUUAGAAAGUCUGAUGUGAAAGCCCACGGCUCAACCGUGGAGUGUCAUUGGAAACUAAUACACUUGAGUGCAGGAGAGAAAAGUGGAAUUCCUAGUGUAGCGGUGAAAUGCGUAGCGAUUAGGAGGAACCCCGGUGGCGAAGGCGGCUUUUGGCCUGCAACUGACACUGAGGCGCGAAAGCGUGGGGAGCAAACAGG
This 429-nucleotide ribosomal RNA is filed under the name Verrucomicrobiota bacterium. RNAcentral's name for it is "Verrucomicrobia bacterium partial 16S ribosomal RNA". It matches the Rfam family "Bacterial small subunit ribosomal RNA", at positions 355 to 776 of the family's 1533-position model. The record is from RNAcentral. Lineage: Bacteria; Pseudomonadati; Verrucomicrobiota.